RNAcentral lists this ribosomal RNA (1065 nucleotides) under Amynthas sp. YN201102-04. RNAcentral's name for it is "partial 12S ribosomal RNA". Lineage: Eukaryota; Metazoa; Annelida; Clitellata; Crassiclitellata; Megascolecidae. The record is from RNAcentral.
AACUCGAUAAUCCACGCAUACUCAACCCUCUCUUGAUAUUUACAGCAUGUGUACUGCCGUUGUAAGUAUACCUCUAAAAGCCCAAGUAUACAACUAUGGUUGUAUAGCCCAUAUACAUCAGGUCAAAGUGCAGCCAAUAAGAGGGUGAUGAUGGGUUACAACCCCCAAAAAGACUAUCAACUAAGAAAUAAAAAAUCUUACGAAAGUGGACUUGGUCGUAAUCAAUUUACAAGUUAAAAAAAUGAAUAAAACUCUAAGACAUGCACACAUCGCCCGUCACUCUACCCCAAAGGCUAGAUAAGUCGUAACAAAGUAGGUGUAAUGGAAAUUGCACCUGUCGGAAUAUAGCAUAUAAAAUGCUUUUUACUUACACUAAAAAAAAAGUUAGAUAACUUGUUUCGCCCAAAGAUAUAAACCCUAUAAUAAGUAAAUAAUAUAAACACCUAAACAAAUUAUACUAGUAAAUUAGAGUACAUAAAUGGAAAAAAUUAAUAAAUUAAAGUAAGUGUUAAAAAAUGUACCUUGUGCAUUAUGGUUUUACAAGAAAGAAAUUAAAACACCUAUCCCGAAUUCUAGAUGAGAUGUUAAGCUACUGUCAAGAACCCACUAGUAACUGUAGAAAAAGUUUUAAAAGAUAGCUUAACAGAGGCUACAUACCACACGCAUAAGAAUAUAGCUGGUCUUCAACAAAAAUUAUACAUUAAGCCAUAUAGUUAAACUAUAUUGUAAUAUUAUUGAGGAUAAGCCCAAUAAAUUAAGCAAUAAAUCACCUAAGUCCGUAUAUACACAUAGGCCUAAAAUCAGCCAAUAAAAAUACUUUACCGUAAAUAGUGGGGACACAAUUAAUAUUUAUACUAAUGCCUAACAAAGUUGAAAUAGUGGGUAAACUAACUCCCCCACUUAUAAUAUGUAAAAAUAAGUAUUAAAAAACUAAAAUAGUAUUAGCCAGUAAAAGAAAACUGAAUAAUAGACAAUAACUAAUUAAGGAACUCGGCAACUCUUUAUUUCGACUGUUUAACAAAAACAUUGUCUCAUGUAUAAAAAUAUAAGAUAAGACCUGCCCAG